RNAcentral lists this unclassified non-coding RNA (355 nucleotides) under uncultured fungus. RNAcentral describes it as "partial contains small subunit ribosomal RNA, internal transcribed spacer 1, and 5.8S ribosomal RNA". The stretch from base 1 to 73 matches the Rfam family "Eukaryotic small subunit ribosomal RNA", at positions 1759 to 1831 of the family's 1831-position model. Lineage: Eukaryota; Fungi. The record is from RNAcentral.
ACAAACUUGGUCAUUUAGAGGAAGUAAAAGUCGUAACAAGGUAUCUGUAGGUGAACCUGCAGAUGGAUCAUUUCGAUGAAAACCUUUUUUUCUGAGGUGUGGCUCGCACCUGUCCAACUAAACUUGAGCUACCCUUUUACAACACGGUUGCAUCGGUCGGCCUGUCAAACAGCGCGCGCGAAUGUGCGUCUGGGCGACGAGUCGGCACUUUACACAAACACUUUUGAUAAUCUAGGAUUUGAAGGAAAAAAGUUUCAUUUUUACGAUGAAAUCCGACUGGUAAUGCGGUCGUCUAAAUCUAAAAACAACUUUUGGCAACGGAUCUCUUGGUUCUCCCAUCGAUGAAGAACGCAGC